Non-coding RNA from Danio rerio (zebrafish), 3786 nucleotides. The record is from RefSeq and is a predicted model, not a curated record. NCBI's taxonomy places the organism in Eukaryota, Metazoa, Chordata, Actinopteri, Cypriniformes, Danionidae.
GGCAGGAGCUCGCCCCUCCUGCCGGUGUAAUCUGAAGCCGCUGUUGUAUCGGCAGCUCUACGUUUGAAGCGCGUUCAUCAUGUUCUGACGCAUUAAAGCAGCGCGCGAUUUUCUCCUCGUCUCCAAAUGUCACGGUACGAAUGGACAGCAAACGGCGGCACGCGCGUGGAUUUCCUGGAAGUACCGCAUUAUUAUUCGUGAUUGCGAAAGCUUCCUGGUUCCCGUAGUAGCGAUACACAGCUGUUUGACGCCGUCUGCCAAACGCGACUGUCAGGACGCAACUCUCAGAACGCGACUCUCAGAACGCGACUCUGAGGACGCGACGCGAGGGGUUUUAUAUUUCGCCUUUUUCUGGACGCAUUCGGAAGUCUUUUCCGCCGGAGCCGAUGUGUAUACGAGGGUGACCGCGCGUGGAUCUCAUCAUGUGGCCGCGGGGAUGGACCCAGGCGCGCUGUCAGGACAGCGGGGUGGACCAAGACCGCGAGCAGCUCUGGGCCGAACUCUUCCAGCAGCUGGACCUCAAUAAAGACGGCCGGGUGGAUGUCAACGAGCUGCGGAUCGGACUCGCAGCCCGCGGGCUAUCCUGGAGCUCGGUGGAGGAGCAGAUUGUACGAGCGGGAGACAUCAAUCACGACGGUCAGCUGGACUUCGAAGAGUUUACCGAGUACCUGCGCUCACAUGAGAAACGCCUUAGACUCAUGUUUCGCAGCCUGGACCGAAACAAUGAUGGUGAAGUGGAUGUCGGGGAGAUCCAGCAGUCCUUACACAAUCUCGGCGUGGACAUCACACUAGAACAGGCUGCUAAAAUACUGCAAAGUAUGGAUAAAGAUCAUUCCAUGACUAUUGACUGGAUCGAGUGGCGAGAUCACUUCCUGUUCAACCCUCUACACAACAUGGAGGAAAUCGCUCAGUUCUGGAAGCACUCAGUGAUGCUGGACAUCGGGGAGCACCUGACGGUUCCAGACGAGUUCUCAGAGAAGGAGAAGCGAUCCGGGUUCGUGUGGCGGCAGCUGAUGGCAGGAGCCGUGGCAGGAUCAGUGUCCCGGACAGGAACCGCACCGCUCGACAGACUCAAGGUCUUCCUGCAGGUUCACGGUCAGAGCUCAGAUAAGGGGAACGUGUGGAGUGGUCUGCGGGCGAUGGUGAAGGAGGGAGGACUCACUGCGCUCUGGAGAGGAAACGGCAUUAAUGUGCUUAAGAUCGCUCCGGAGACUGCCAUCAAAUUCCUGGCUUAUGAACAGAUUAAACGCUUGAUGAGAGGCAGUAAUGAAGGAGGAACACUGAAAGUUCAUGAGAGAUUUGUGGCUGGUUCAUUGGCUGGAGCUACAGCUCAGACUAUCAUAUACCCUAUGGAGGUGCUGAAGACUCGGUUAACUCUGCGUAAAACGGGCCAGUAUUCAAGCGUAGCAGACUGUGCCAAACAGAUCCUGCAGAAGGAGGGCGUUCGGGCCUUUUAUAAAGGCUACCUGCCAAACAUGCUGGGCAUCAUCCCGUACGCGGGCAUAGAUCUCGCCGUCUAUGAGACGCUAAAGAACGCAUGGCUGCAGAGGCACACUGAAGGCUCGGCGGACCCCGGGGUUCUGGUUUUGGUGGGCUGUGGGACGGUUUCCAGCACCUGUGGGCAGCUGGCGUCGUACCCGCUCGCACUCAUACGCACACGCAUGCAGGCGCAGGCGUCGAUUAAGGGGGCUCCUCAGUUGUCCAUGCUGACCCUGUUUAGAAGUAUCGUGGCCCAGGAGGGCGUUGUGGGACUCUACCGAGGCAUCGCUCCAAACUUCCUGAAGGUCAUUCCUGCCGUCAGCAUCUCCUACGUGGUCUACGAGCACAUGAGGAAAGUACUGGGAGUGGGAACCUGAGAGAGAAAGACUGCAUGAGUGUGUGUUUAUAAAGGGAAAAAAACAGACACUAUAGUUACAUCCUUUAUAUGUCAAGAGAAGAAAGGAAAGGUCAAAGACUUGCUUAUUUAAGCCUAAAAUACCUAAAAAAAAUCCCCUGCACUGGAGUUGUGAUGAUCAACUAUCUGUGAGGAACUGAUUGAAAAACACUGAAAUAUGCAGAAUCUACGAGGUGCUGAUCCAGGCCCGUUCAUCAUGUGUGUUUUUUAUGUGUGUUGUUGAUCAACAGGGCCCUGAUAUUCAGGUUUACAGGAUGAAGAAAUGUAUUGAUGAAUGCAAGGCCGAAGUUGCCACAGUAGUUCUUAAAUGUAUGUGAUUUUAAAAAAUGUUAUUUAUGAGUUUAGCAAGAUGCUAAUGUCCCAAAUAUACUUAAAGCUAAGUCCAAUAAUAAAUAACGUCAUUUCAGCGAAUAUCAGGCCAAAAUAAAGUUAGUUUAUUUCAGUUUGCUUUACUUCACUUAGUAAACACUCUCAAUCUACCAUUGGUCAAUUCUUAGUACAUAAUAGGUAGGUGUGGCUGUGUGGCUUCACCUACUUUGACUUGAAAACCUUCUCCGGUUAAAGAAAUAGUUCACCCUAAAAUGAAAAUUUCCUCUCUCGACUUUUCAUCAAGUGUUUUUUUCUUCUGGUGAACACAAAACAAGAUAUUCUGAAGAAAAAAGCAGCCAUCCAUCCUUCGACCCACAAACAUCAUAUCAUGUUUUCUUAACUGGUGUUUUCACGCUGCUGUAAUUUAGUUGAAAGUUUGUGUUUUAUAUAUAUAUAUAUAUAUGUUUUAGUUUAUAUAUAAGAAAAUGUGCUGCAUGUAUUUAUUAAAUCAUCUAGAUCUUACCAAUGCUCAGGUUUUUCAAACUAGUUUUUACCCCUAAAUGAAAAAGACGUUUGCCAUAUUGGGGGCUUUAGACAAAAAAUGUACAUAUAAUGUAUUAUAUGUAUCGAUACAUAAUUAAUGACCCAUUAAUAUUGUAGUCUUACGUCUUACUACAUACUUAGCAAAUACACAUUACGUACAUAUCUGAAUUGGGACGCAGCCUUGGAGUUGAUAUUUCUGUUACCAUCAGUGCAUGAGAUGCUGUAGCCUUCAUUUGGAGCAGAAAGCCUUAUGGACUCAUGGAUGAGAGAGAGAGAGAGAGAGAGAGAGAGAGUGUGUGUGUUUUUUGUGUAAUUUUUUUUCUUAUGAAAAGAAACAGAACUAAUAAAAAACUUUUUAGAGUAGAGGAUCACUGCUUAAGAGUUCAGCAGAUACACUCAGAUAGACUAGAAUGAGCUAUUCUACUAUGAAGAUUUCCACUGGGAAUCUGCAAACUUCUGGUGUUUUUAAAUCGAAGCCUCAAAAUUACAUUUCUGUUUCUUUUAGUUUGUCCAGUAGCACAUACAUACACUGCUGUACUUCUAAAAUAAACUUCUAGUUUAUUACGCUUUAGAAUUUCCCAGCCUUUUUCUGGGAAAACGGACCAAAAUAUUGAUGACAUCAGCCUGCACUUGUGGGUGUGUCCAAUUUUGUAUUCAAUCAAGUGUUGUCUUGAAUGAGAACAUCCGUCCCCUUAAUUAAGCUGUAAAAGAGUACUAGUACUUAACAAAGAACUUUCAGUUUAUCAAAAAGGUCAAAGUAUUUCAUCAUGUUUACACCUGUUCCACAAUAUCUGUGUGGAAACUGUGAAAAAAUCAUUUGCAGAUUUAAUCUGGGCCUCCUGAAUAAAAACGGUUUCCAACACGGACAUCUUGCAUUGACAUAAACAACAACAUGUUUGUUCAUUAUCUGUUUUUUUUUUUUUUUUUGCUGUUCUACUGUGUAUUUACCUUUGAAUGAAAACUAAAAUAUGUAACUGAAUGCAUGCAAGAGAAUGUGUACAUGAAAUUAAACAAAUUUUAAAUAAAACAAGCAAAGUAUU